AUUUUCUCCCACAUUACCGGUAUAAUAUACUAAGUUGUUGUCAUUGCCAAGAUCUAAAACUAGCAUAGCAUUCUGGUGUUUUCAGCUUUUUUUUCUCAUCUUUUCUUUCUUUUUAACAUGGAUUUUCAUUUCUUGUGCUUAAAAUGUUUCUGGGUUUUCAUUUUCUGUGGUGGUUGAUCUUGAAUCUUGACAUGCUUUAACAUUUUUCUCUGUUUCUUUCUCAACAGUGGUA
This 232-nucleotide unclassified non-coding RNA is filed under the name Hevea brasiliensis (rubber tree). The record is from RNAcentral. Lineage: Eukaryota; Viridiplantae; Streptophyta; Magnoliopsida; Malpighiales; Euphorbiaceae.